CUCCGUUUAAUUGCAACUUUACGACUCUUUUUAAUCUGUAAAGAACCUUUCGCUUUUAUUGUUUUUUUUUUUUUAAUUAUGAGUCUUCACAUAGGAUUCAGCAGCAGGAAGCAUCCAGUAGGGUGACAACUUAUCAGCCUACAAGUACAUUUGCCUACCCUUUUCCACCAGCACCACUUCAUCCUCAAGCAGUUGCUUAUAAACAAUCAGCAGCUUUUAUACACCCUAGCCUGAAUGCUUUCAGGCAACCGC
RNAcentral lists this long non-coding RNA (252 nucleotides) under Mytilus galloprovincialis (Mediterranean mussel). The record is from RNAcentral. Lineage: Eukaryota; Metazoa; Mollusca; Bivalvia; Mytilida; Mytilidae.